Molecule: ribosomal RNA, 468 nt
Filed under: uncultured bacterium
Lineage: Bacteria
Description: partial 16S ribosomal RNA
Rfam family: Bacterial small subunit ribosomal RNA
Source: RNAcentral
GACGAACGCUGGCGGCGUGCUUAACACAUGCAAGUCGAACGGAAAGGCCCUGCUUUUGUGGGGUGCUCGAGUGGCGAACGGGUGAGUAACACGUGAGUAACCUGCCCUUGACUUUGGGAUAACUUCAGGAAACUGGGGCUAAUACCGGAUAGGAGCUCCUGCUGCAUGGAGGGGGUUGGAAAGUUUCGGCGGUUGGGGAUGGACUCGCGGCUUAUCAGCUUGUUGGUGGGGUAGUGGCUUACCAAGGCUUUGACGGGUAGCCGGCCUGAGAGGGUGGCCGGCCACAUUGGGCCUGCGAUACGGCCCAGACUCCUACGGGAGGCAGCAGUGGGGAAUAUUGCACAAUGGGCGGAAGCCUGAUGCAGCAACGCCGCGUGCGGGAUGACGGCCUUCGGGUUGUAAACCGCUUUCGCCUGUGACGAAGCGUGAGUGACGGUAAUGGGUAAAGAAGCACCGGCUAACUACGUG